RNAcentral lists this ribosomal RNA (253 nucleotides) under uncultured bacterium. RNAcentral describes it as "partial 16S ribosomal RNA". It matches the Rfam family "Bacterial small subunit ribosomal RNA", at positions 524 to 776 of the family's 1533-position model. The record is from RNAcentral.
UACGUAGGGUGCGAGCGUUGUCCGGAAUUAUUGGGCGUAAAGAGCUUGUAGGCGGUUUGUCGCGUCUGCUGUGAAAACUGGAGGCUCAACCUCCAGCCUGCAGUGGGUACGGGCAGACUAGAGUGCGGUAGGGGAGAUUGGAAUUCCCGGUGUAGCGGUGAAAUGCGCAGAUAUCAGGAGGAACACCGGUGGCGAAGGCGGGUCUCUGGGCCGUAACUGACGCUGAGGAGCGAAAGCGUGGGGAGCGAACAGG